This 320-nucleotide ribosomal RNA is filed under the name uncultured eukaryote. Its description in RNAcentral is "partial 18S ribosomal RNA". It matches the Rfam family "Eukaryotic small subunit ribosomal RNA", at positions 1470 to 1796 of the family's 1831-position model. The record is from RNAcentral.
CCCCUAGAUGUUCUGGGCCGCACGCGCGCUACACUGAACAGUUCAACAAGUCUUAACCUUGGCCGAUAGGUCUGGGUAAUCUUUGAACGCUGUUCGUGAUUGGGAUAGACCUUUGCAAUUAUGGGUCUUCAACGAGGAAUUCCUAGUAAACGCAAGUCAUCAGCUUGCAUUGAUUACGUCCCUGCCCUUUGUACACACCGCCCGUCGCACCUACCGAUUGAAUGGUCCGGUGAAAUCUCGGGACGGCGGCUUGGUCGCUUGCGUCCGACUGCUGAAACUUGAUUAAACCAUAUCAUUUAGAGGAAGUAAAANUCGUANCA